RNAcentral lists this ribosomal RNA (187 nucleotides) under uncultured bacterium. Its description in RNAcentral is "partial 16S ribosomal RNA". It matches the Rfam family "Bacterial small subunit ribosomal RNA", at positions 1207 to 1392 of the family's 1533-position model. The record is from RNAcentral.
UCCAGGGCUUCACGCAUGCUACAAUGGCCGGUACAAAGGGCUGCGAAACUGUAAGGUGGAGCGAAUCCCAAAAAGCCGGUCUCAGUUCGGAUUGGGGUCUGCAACUCGACCCCAUGAAGUCGGAGUCGCUAGUAAUCGCAGAUCAGCAACGCUGCGGUGAAUACGUUCCCGGGCCUUGUACACACCG